UCCGGCUUAACACCGGCAGUCUCGCAUGAGUCCCCAACUAAAUGCUGGUAACAUACGAUAGGGGUUGCGCUCGUUGCUGGACUUAACCAAACAUCUCACGACACGAGCUGACGACAGCCGUGCAGCACCUGUACAUCGUCCGGCCGAACCGAAGGGAAACAUCUCUGUAACCCCCGACGAGUAUGUCAAGUGUAGGUAAGGUUCUUCGCGUUGCUUCGAAUUAAACAACAUGCUCCACCGCUUGUGCGGGUCCCCGUCAAUUCCUUUGAGUUUUAAUCUUGCGACCGUACUCCCCAGGCGGUGUGCUUAAAGCGUUAGCUGCGUCACCGAAUCUGAAAGACCCGACAACUAGCACACAUCGUUUACAGCGUGGACUAC
This 378-nucleotide unclassified non-coding RNA is filed under the name uncultured Alphaproteobacteria bacterium. RNAcentral describes it as "contains 16S-23S intergenic spacer region". The record is from RNAcentral. Lineage: Bacteria; Pseudomonadati; Pseudomonadota; Alphaproteobacteria.